This 70-nucleotide transfer RNA is filed under the name Bradypus variegatus (Brown-throated sloth). RNAcentral describes it as "tRNA-Pro". The record is from RNAcentral. Lineage: Eukaryota; Metazoa; Chordata; Mammalia; Pilosa; Bradypodidae.
CACGGGGUAGAUUAAUUAGAAUUAAGGCUUUGAGAGCCGUUGGAGAGGGUGAUGGUAGUCUCUACCCUGA